GAGCACCAGCAUCCACAGCUGCUUGAGGAGGAAACAUCAACAGAAAGAAAAACAAUUAAUCAUCCACUGAUGGAGGAGGAGGAUGAUGAAGAUGGAGGACAGGAGCACCAGUAUCCACAGCAUCCUGAGGAGGAAACAUCAACAGAGGACAGAGACUUCUAUUCACCAAAACAAUACAGGAGCACCAGCAUCCACAGCAUCCUGAGGAUGAAACAUCACCAGAGGACAGAAAGACUUCUAUUCACCAAAACAAUCAAUAGUUUUGCUUCAGAGGAGAAUCCGACAGUUCCAGAUGUUCGUCACCAGCACUGCAGUGUUUACACAGACUGCUUUGGUUUCAACUUUAUACAAAAAACUGUUGAACUUUCAACUCACUUUCCAUCAGAAUCCAAGCUCAUCUUCAUCACUGGGAUGUUUCUUCAUCAGUUCUUCGUACAGACUGACACAGCUCACACAUGGAGAAGAUGAUUUAUGGAAUAUGACAUUUAGACUUUUCCUUUUCUCAACAGUAUGAUGCAUACAUCCCAACCCAAAUUUAAUGCAUUUUUUUUUGGCUUAACUUGAGCCAAUUUCUAUCAAUAAAUUGCUAAUGUAUUAUUAUUGACUAUUAAUA
This 613-nucleotide long non-coding RNA is filed under the name Gouania willdenowi (blunt-snouted clingfish). RNAcentral describes it as "lncRNA (ENSGWIG00000006450.1)". The record is from RNAcentral. Lineage: Eukaryota; Metazoa; Chordata; Actinopteri; Blenniiformes; Gobiesocidae.